AGUGAACGCUGGCGGUAGGCCUAACACAUGCAAGUCGAACGACCGCACAGUAAGCGCUUGCCCUUACGGUUGGCGGCUGACGGACGGGUGAGAAAUACAUCGGAAUCUACUUUUUCUUGGGGAAUAACGUGGGAAAACUUCCGCUAAUACCGCAUACGUCCUACGGGUGAAAUCAGGGGAUCUUCGGACCUUGCCCGUUUGAUUGAGCCGAUGUCGGAUUAGCUAGUUGGCGGGGUAAAGGCCCACCAAGGCGACGAUCCGUAGCUGGUCUGAGAGGAUGAUCAGCCACACUGGAACUGAGACACGGUCCAGACUCCUACGGGAGGCAGCAGUGGGGAAUAUUGGACAAUGGGCGCAAGCCUGAUCCAGCCAUACCGCGUGGGUGAAGAAGGCCUUCGGGUUGUAAAGCCCUUUUGUUGGGAAAGAAAAGCAGCAGGUUAACACCCCGCUGUUCUGACGGUACCCAAAGAAUAAGCACCGGCUAACUUCGUG
RNAcentral lists this ribosomal RNA (492 nucleotides) under uncultured bacterium. Its description in RNAcentral is "partial 16S ribosomal RNA". It matches the Rfam family "Bacterial small subunit ribosomal RNA", at positions 29 to 507 of the family's 1533-position model. The record is from RNAcentral.